This 85-nucleotide transfer RNA is filed under the name Candidatus Andersenbacteria bacterium CG10_big_fil_rev_8_21_14_0_10_54_11. RNAcentral describes it as "tRNA-Leu". It matches the Rfam family "tRNA". Rfam says of the family: Transfer RNA (tRNA) molecules are approximately 80 nucleotides in length. Their secondary structure includes four short double-helical elements and three loops (D, anti-codon, and T loops). Lineage: Bacteria; Candidatus Anderseniibacteriota. The record is from RNAcentral.
GCCGGGGUGGCGAAACUGGUAGCACGCACGAGACUUAAAAUCUCGGGGCCGCAAGGCCGUGCGGGUUCGAGUCCCGCCCCCGGCA